Molecule: small RNA, 131 nt
Filed under: Arabidopsis thaliana (thale cress)
Lineage: Eukaryota; Viridiplantae; Streptophyta; Magnoliopsida; Brassicales; Brassicaceae
Description: ATSL027700
Source: RNAcentral
UUAAAUAAUAAAUAAAAUUAAUAUAUUGAUGUGACACAUGCCAAUCUAUCUACUGCUGACUUGGCGGAAGGAUGAAGAGAGUUGGUCAACUUGCAUAUAUGAUUAUAAAAGAUAAUUCUUCUUUUUACUGA